Molecule: ribosomal RNA, 433 nt
Filed under: uncultured bacterium
Lineage: Bacteria
Description: partial 16S ribosomal RNA
Rfam family: Bacterial small subunit ribosomal RNA
Source: RNAcentral
AACGAACGCUGGCGGCAGGCUUAACACAUGCAAGUCGAACGGAUCCUUCGGGAUUAGUGGCGGACGGGUGAGUAACGCGUGGGAACGUACCCUUUGCUACGGAAUAACUCAGGGAAACUUGAGCUAAUACCGCAUGUGCCCUACGGGGGAAAGAUUUAUCGGCAAAGGAUCGGCCCGCGUUGGAUUAGCUAGUUGGUGGGGUAAUGGCCUACCAAGGCGACGAUCCAUAGCUGGUCUGAGAGGAUGCUCAGCCACACUGGGACUGCGACACGGCCCAGACUCGUACGGGAGGCAGCAGUGGGGAAUAUUGGACAAUGGGCGCAAGCCUGAUCCAGCCAUGCCGCGUGAGUGAUGAAGGUCUUAGGAUUGUAAAGCUCUUUCACCGGUGAAGAUAAUGACGGUAGCCGGAGAAGAAGCCCCGGCUAACUUCGUG